RNAcentral lists this ribosomal RNA (453 nucleotides) under uncultured bacterium. RNAcentral's name for it is "bacterial SSU rRNA". It matches the Rfam family "Bacterial small subunit ribosomal RNA", at positions 340 to 786 of the family's 1533-position model. The record is from RNAcentral.
UACGGAAGGCAGCAGUGGGGAAUAUUGCACAAUGGGCGCAAGCCUGAUGCAGCCAUGCCGCGUGUAUGAAGAAGGCCUUCGGGUUGUAAAGUACUUUCAGUCGUGAGGAAGGUGUUAAGGUUAAUAACCUUAGCAAUUGACGUUAGCGACAGAAGAAGCACCGGCUAACUCCGUGCCAGCAGCCGCGGUAAUACGGAGGGUGCGAGCGUUAAUCGGAAUUACUGGGCGUAAAGGGCACGCAGGCGGUUAAUUAAGUUGGAUGUGAAAUCCCCGGGCUUAACCUGGGAAUGGCAUUCAAGACUGGUUAGCUAGAGUCUUGUAGAGGGGGUAGAAUUCCGAUGUGUAGCGGUGAAAUGCGUAGAGAUGUGGAGGAAUACCGGUGGCGAAGGCGGCCCCUGGCAAAGGACUGACGCUCAUGUGCGAAAGCUGGGGAGCAAACAGGGAUUAGAUACC